CUGUUCGUAAGACAACCGGACCCUAAUUAAACAAAAGAAGAUAAUAGAUUAGAAACUAUAAGGCUAUAUCAAGCUAUGAAUUCAGUUGUAUGCAUGGUAAGCAGGAGAAGAAAUAUUUAGUGCAAGGUAUGUAUGUAUAUUAGUUUCAUUUGCACACGCUUUGAGAUUGACAUAAUCCAAUGGUGAAGAUUUUCCAAUUGUUUUUCACCAUUCCAAGUUUCAGACUUUUCAAACAUUACGAAUUUUUACCUGACUUGGCGGAAGAAUUCUUU
RNAcentral lists this unclassified non-coding RNA (272 nucleotides) under Hevea brasiliensis (rubber tree). Lineage: Eukaryota; Viridiplantae; Streptophyta; Magnoliopsida; Malpighiales; Euphorbiaceae. The record is from RNAcentral.